AUACGGAGGGAGCAAGCGUUAUUCGGAAUCACUGGGCGUAAAGCGCGCGUAGGCGGUUUGUUAAGUUGGAUGUGAAAGCCCCGGGCUUAACCUGGGAGGGUCAUUCAAAACUGGCAGACUAGAGUGUGGUAGAGGGUAGUGGAAUUCCUAGUGUAGAGGUGAAAUGCGUAGAGAUUAGGAGGAACACCAGUGGCGAAGGCGACUGCCUGGACCAACACUGACGCUGAGGUGCGAAAGCGUGGGUAGCGAACAGGAUUAGAAACCCCGGUAGUCC
RNAcentral lists this ribosomal RNA (274 nucleotides) under uncultured bacterium. Its description in RNAcentral is "partial 16S ribosomal RNA". It matches the Rfam family "Bacterial small subunit ribosomal RNA", at positions 523 to 796 of the family's 1533-position model. The record is from RNAcentral.